RNAcentral lists this ribosomal RNA (550 nucleotides) under Desmazierella acicola. RNAcentral describes it as "eukaryotic LSU rRNA". It matches the Rfam family "Eukaryotic large subunit ribosomal RNA", at positions 44 to 597 of the family's 3401-position model. The record is from RNAcentral. Lineage: Eukaryota; Fungi; Ascomycota; Pezizomycetes; Pezizales; Sarcoscyphaceae.
CAAUAAGCGGAGGAAAAGAAACCAACAGGGAUUGCCUUAGUAACUGCGAGUGAAGCGGCAAGAGCUCAAAUUUGAAAUCUGGCGCCUUUGGCGUCCGAGUUGUAAUUUGGAGAGGCAUCUUCGGGUGCGGCGCCGGCCUAAGUUCCUUGGAACAGGACGUCAUAGAGGGUGAGAAUCCCGUUCUCGGCUGGCUGUCCGCGUCCAUGUGAAGUGUCUUCGACGAGUCGAGUUGUUUGGGAAUGCAGCUCAAAAUGGGUGGUAAACUCCAUCUAAAGCUAAAUACUGGCGAGAGACCGAUAGCGCACAAGUAGAGUGAUCGAAAGAUGAAAAGCACUUUGAAAAGAGAGUUAAAAAGUACGUGAAAUUGUUGAAAGGGAAGCGCUUGAGACCAGACUCGGCGGGAGGUAUUCAUCGUCCCUUCUGGGGCGUGCACUUGCCUCUCGUCGGGCCAGCAUCGGUUGCGGCGGCGGGAUAAAGACCCGGGGAACGUGGCUGCUCUCGGGCAGUGUUAUAGCCCCGGGUGUCAUGCCGCCUGCUGCGACCGAGGACC